Molecule: long non-coding RNA, 681 nt
Filed under: Oryza brachyantha (malo sina)
Lineage: Eukaryota; Viridiplantae; Streptophyta; Magnoliopsida; Poales; Poaceae
Description: long non-coding RNA (OBRA_LNC003220)
Source: RNAcentral
AACCUAUGACAUGGUACCAACAAUACUUACUCUGUUAUAGCCUAGGACGUCAUCGGGAGCUCCUCUAUUACAAACAACAUCCAAUAUAGCAGUAUCGAACAACCAUCCUAAUAAUUUGAAACGAAAUGCUAUGAGCAAGAAAUCCUAGAGCCUUAUACAUAGGCUCAUAUUGAUUUUCUAUGCAUGCACCGGUUAAUCUUCAGUUUGCGUAGGAGGCAUCAGGAGUUUAGCUAGCCAUCACUGGGUGUGCACACCCUCUGUUGGUGCGUGCAUCACCGACGUCCUGCAGAGAAACCGCUGAUGAUGUGGGACGAGAAGACGCCGGCGAGUGUGCUUCAGCCAGCAGGACGGGAUGGUUACCGGCAACUUAUCUUUCAUACAUCGGUCAGCUGCAACAAAAUUGAGUUGCUCGUCUGGCAGGGGACCCUGUCCAGCUGCAGUGGGAGCUUUAGUAACAUUCCAGCCGCUAGAAAUUAGUUAAAUUUGGUAGAUUCAGAAUAUGCGUUAGAAGUUUAGACAUGGAUUAAUAUUUUCUCUUUUAAGAUUUGACCACUAUACUUAUUUUAGAUUUUUUGUGAGUCUAUGUUGAUGUUGUGAUGAGACACAUCUCCCUUCGAAGUUAUGUACGGAGAGAGUAGUUGGUUGCGCUGGUGUGUCUAAUGGGUUUAAUAAUUCGGUUUC